UCACAUCGAUGCCUUAGAUCAAAUCUAACCAUUAGAUCGAAUCGAAUAAGUUCAGAACUCAUUACUUUUGCACAGGUUGAUGAUCGCCACUGCUGAUAGGCAUGGUACGGGGUUCUUCUUGAUAUCGAAUAGCCGCACAGAUCGUCCGACUUCUACCGAUCGUUCACUCAAAGCUCUGAUCGGAUCAUCUUUCUUGAAAGUGCUAGCUCACGUCGAAGGCUCUGAAUGGUUGCUUCAAGCUCCUUUCUUUGGAUCAUCCAGACUCUUUCGGAUUAGAAAAUAGAGCUUUACGAACAGGUGGUGGUGUGAAUGAUUGGAACAAGACACUCUUGUGUUUUUCUCUCACACAAAAUCUAGAGCUGAAACCCUAAAACCCAUCCUAGAUCUCACGCUCAAAGAGGAAGGACUCUUUCUGUAUUUCUCAUGCACAGAAGCCUGCCCCCCUCUCUCUCAGAAAAAUUUUUUCAUGGUAAAAACCAACUUUGUCACACAAAAAUGAGAGAAAUUUAAGGUGGGCAUGGAGAAGAGAUUGGAUAAGGAUAAGUGGUCCAAAUUAGUUUGAAUUCUAAUCAUUUUGAAUUCAAACUACAACCACUUCAUUUUUAUCCAAGUGAGGCGUCAGAAGAGCUGAGGUGCGAGACAUUUCUCACGCCAUUCUCUUCUCAAAUUGUUGCAUACAACUCAGCCUUCCAAAGGUGGUGGCGCCAAGGUAAGGAUAAGGAUAAGUUUUAAUUUGUUUUCAAGUCAAAUUCAAAUCCUUUGAAUUCGAAUUUUUAAACAAAUUUAUCUUCAUCCAAAUAAAACUAGAGAAGGGAUGACAAUGCACUUCUGGACGUGGAGAAAAUUCACACAAGAACCAAUUUUGUGCGUGGAGAAUGGUGGUCGACGUUUAGGGAAGAGUCCAACUUGAUUUGGACUCCAAGUUCAAAUCCAAAUUCAAACCAUUUAAACUUAGAUUUUAAACUAACCAAAUCCUAAUCCAAAAGGGAUCAGAAAGUGGGCGACAUUCACUUCUGGGCAUGAAAAAAAAUUCAUGUAAGAACACUUCUUGCAUGGAGAAAAGAAGGGUGCAGUGAUGAGGUGGCACAUAGGGUUGGUUCAAAUUAAUUCAAACUUGAAUUUUAUCCAACUAGAUUCUAAACCCAACCAAAUUAGGUUAAAUCAAUCAGAUCACUGAAUCUAAUCUAAUUAGAUAAUAAAUAGCUUCGAUUAAAUCCUAAUCAAAUUAAAAAUUAAUCGACUCAAGUUUUGAUCAAAUUAGGAAUCGAAUACCCUUAGCUAUUGGGUCAUCUUAUAACCUAAUCGAGUCAAAUCAAAUUGAAUCUAAUUCAAUUAGAUUUGAUCUAAAUCUCAAUACUCAAUCAAAUUGAGCUAAUUAGCAAUCUAUUCAGUAAUCAAUCCUCCUACAAUUCAUUAAUAAUUAGCGAAUUAAUUUAUUACAAUUUUUGCAUAAGGUUAAUUAUCAAUCGAAUUGACGAUUAUACCUUAAAAUAAUUCUCAAUCAUCGAUCAGCCACAUGAUCAAUCAGAGACUUCUUUUGAGUGUGACCCCAUAGGUUUGAACUUAAAUCGAUAGUGCAGGAACAAUCUUUCUAUACCACUCAAAGUGAACAUUUAGCAACGACGUCCGGAUAAGUCGAAAAAUUACAAAGCAACGUUCAAGAAUCUAUUGGCAUAUGCUUACCGUAUAAUUCAUCCCUUUGAUCCAAAUACUUAAGAUGACCUAAGGUUUAACUAUCAAUUCUGAAAAAGUCAUCCACAUUGUAUUUCAACUUUUCAAAUCUAUCAUAUGAAUUAUCUCGAUCGAGAUUUUACUAAAUUAAAAUACACUGAUGCAUUAACUCCUAUUUAUUCAGAGGGAUCAAUUCCAUCUUGACUCACACACUGACUUCGCAAGUACUUGACUAUGUUCAGAAAUCUUUCAUCACUGAAUUAGAAAUUUAGAUAGUCCGACACCAAAGUACAGUGAGUUGCUUGCAAGUCAUCGUGAUGAUCUUAGAUCGAAGAGACAUUUAUACCC
Molecule: long non-coding RNA, 2019 nt
Filed under: Elaeis guineensis (African oil palm)
Lineage: Eukaryota; Viridiplantae; Streptophyta; Magnoliopsida; Arecales; Arecaceae
Description: long non-coding RNA (EGUI_LNC046555)
Source: RNAcentral